Molecule: long non-coding RNA, 1251 nt
Filed under: Sus scrofa (pig)
Lineage: Eukaryota; Metazoa; Chordata; Mammalia; Artiodactyla; Suidae
Description: lncRNA (ENSSSCG00035073216.1)
Source: RNAcentral
UGCUGUGGCCAUGGUAUAGGCUGGCAUGACAACUCCAAUUUGAUCCCUAGCCUGGAAACUUCCAUAUGCUGCAGAUGUAGCCCUAAAAAGACCAAAAAAAAAAAAAAAAAAAAAAAAAAAAAGGUAAGGAGCUCACCUUUGAACACAGCUCAGAUGUUGUUGGAAAGCUUCUGUUACAAGAAAGUUUGAAGAGAAAAAGCCAUUGACUGGAGGGGUAGUUCAGAGUAGUAGUUUGGAUCCUGGUUUCAAAUCCUGGCUUUAUCCCUUAUCAGCUGUGUGACUUUAAACAAGUUGUCUAACCUCUCAGUUAUAACAUGAGUGUAAUAAUUGCACCACUAUUACAAUGUUAUAAAAAUUAAAUUAGUAGUUAUAAAAUGCUUAGAGUAGAACCAGCUACAUAGUAAACUAGUUAGAUUGAUGCUAGAAAUAUAAAUAGAUAGAUAGAUAGGAAUAAAAAGUAAAAAAAAAAAAAGAAAGCAAGUGUUCAAGGAAGCUUCCAUUAUGCCAGUGUUCAAAUUCCAAUACCAAUACUAGCUUUCCAGAAUAUUCCAUCUGAAUUCUAAGAAAGCACUUAAUAUUGUUGAUUAAAUAUUUAAAUUACAUUUAUUAUAGCUAGUCUUGUGUUCAUUUUUAGAUAGGCCAAAUUUAUGAGGCAGCAAAGUUGUAAUAUUACGUGUGAUGGGUACAGUUUUAUAGCGCACUUGGGCCCCUUGUAUAAUCAACAUGUUCCUUUCUGCCCAUUUGAUAGGACCAGGGAUAUAAUGAUGAUAUUUUAAAUUAUUAUACAGGCCUAACAUUGUUCUAUCUUCGCCUUUAUAGCAUAUUGUGGAUCAUAUCUCUGAUUUAUUUGAAAAACAAAUCCUUGUUCAGGAACACAAUUUCCAAUUACAAAAUUACUCCUAGGGGAAAAUACAAGCUGUUUUAUGGUGUGAUUUCCAAGAAUGCAUUGUGGUGUGAAGUAGAAAUUACCUACAUCAAUUUUGCUUUCUUUUAUUUAUUUGCAAACAGAUCGGCACAAAAUGUGUUUCCGGGUCCUAUUAUCUGGGCUCCGGUUUUAUUUCUUUGCUCAUGUUCUCACCUUGUACCUGUCACCAGUCUCUUAUCUUUUUGUCUGAUUUUAAGUCUUUGGUUAAAUGUAUUGUCCAGGCAGCCACUUCUUCCCACUGGGUUUUAUUGUUUAUUGUUACCGAGUCCCUAUUUUCUCUGCCAGUCUUCCUUUUACGCAGAAUAUCUGUCUUGAGCGUCCAUUCU